AGUGAACGCUGGCGGUAGGCCUAACACAUGCAAGUCGAACGGCAGCACAGUAAGAGCUUGCUCUUACGGGUGGCGAGUGGCGGACGGGUGAGGCAUACAUCGGAAUCUACUUUUUCGUGGGGGAUAACGUAGGGAAACUUACGCUAAUACCGCAUACGACCUACGGGUGAAAGCAGGGGAUCUUCGGACCUUGCGCGAUUGAAUGAGCCGAUGUCGGAUUAGCUAGUUGGCGGGGUAAAGGCCCACCAAGGCGACGAUCCGUAGCUGGUCUGAGAGGAUGAUCAGACACACUGGAACUGAGACACGGUCCAGACUCCUACGGGAGGCAGCAGUGGGGAAUAUUGGACAAUGGGCGCAAGCCUGAUCCAGCCAUACCGCGUGGGUGAAGAAGGCCUUCGGGUUGUAAAGCCCUUUUGUUGGGAAAGAAAAGCAGCAGGUUAAUACCCCGCUGUUCUGACGGUACCCAAAGAAUAAGCACCGGCUAACUUCGUG
This 492-nucleotide ribosomal RNA is filed under the name uncultured bacterium. Its description in RNAcentral is "partial 16S ribosomal RNA". It matches the Rfam family "Bacterial small subunit ribosomal RNA", at positions 29 to 507 of the family's 1533-position model. The record is from RNAcentral.